Molecule: transfer RNA, 76 nt
Filed under: Anaerobacillus sp. HL2
Lineage: Bacteria; Bacillati; Bacillota; Bacilli; Caryophanales; Bacillaceae
Description: tRNA-Cys
Rfam family: tRNA
About the family: Transfer RNA (tRNA) molecules are approximately 80 nucleotides in length.
Source: RNAcentral
GCGCCUUAGCUCAGCUGGAUAGAGUGUUUGACUACAGAUCAAAAGGUCGGGAGUUCGAAUCUCUCAGGGCGCGCCA